RNAcentral lists this ribosomal RNA (427 nucleotides) under uncultured bacterium. Its description in RNAcentral is "partial 16S ribosomal RNA". It matches the Rfam family "Bacterial small subunit ribosomal RNA", at positions 354 to 796 of the family's 1533-position model. The record is from RNAcentral.
GUGGGGAAUAUUGCGCAAUGGGGGAAACCCUGACGCAGCAAUACCGCGUGAGUGAAGAAGGUUUUCGGAUCGUAAAACUCUUUUAUUGGGGAAGAAGAAGUGACGGUACCCAAUGAAGAAGUCCCGGCUAACUACGUGCCAGCAGCCGCGGUAAUACGUAGGGGACAAGCGUUGUCCGGAAUCACUGGGCGUAAAGGGCGCGUAGGCGGUUUUAUAAGUCAGAUGUGAAAGGUACCGGCUCAACCGGUGACGUGCAUUUGAAACUGUAAGACUUGAGUACUGGAGAGGCAAGUGGAAUUCCUAGUGUAGCGGUGAAAUGCGUAGAUAUUAGGAGGAACACCGGUGGCGAAGGCGGCUUGCUGGACAGAUACUGACGCUCAUGUGCGAAAGCUAGGGCAGCGAACGGGAUUAGAUACCCGUGUAGUCC